This 433-nucleotide ribosomal RNA is filed under the name uncultured bacterium. RNAcentral's name for it is "partial 16S ribosomal RNA". It matches the Rfam family "Bacterial small subunit ribosomal RNA", at positions 29 to 507 of the family's 1533-position model. The record is from RNAcentral.
AACGAACGCUGGCGGCAUGCCUAACACAUGCCAGUCGAACGAGACCUUCGGGUCUAGUGGCGCACGGGUGCGUAACGCGUGGGAACCUGCCUUUAGGCUCGGAAUAACUCAGAGAAAUUUGAGCUAAUACCGGAUGAUGUCUUCGGACCAAAGAUUUAUCGCCUUUAGAUGGGCCCGCGUUGGAUUAGCUAGUUGGUGGGGUAAAGGCCUACCAAGGCGACGAUCCAUAGCUGGUCUGAGAGGAUGAUCAGCCACACUGGGACUGAGACACGGCCCAGACUCCUACGGGAGGCAGCAGUGGGGAAUAUUGGACAAUGGGCGAAAGCCUGAUCCAGCAAUGCCGCGUGAGUGAUGAAGGCCUUAGGGUUGUAAAGCUCUUUUACCCGAGAUGAUAAUGACAGUAUCGGGAGAAUAAGCUCCGGCUAACUCCGUG